UCCUUAUUAGCUCAGUUGGCAGAGCAUGAGACUCUCAACCUCAGGGUCGUGGGUUUGAGCCCCACGUUGGGGAA
Podarcis lilfordi (Lilford's wall lizard) is the source of this 74-nucleotide non-coding RNA. Lineage: Eukaryota; Metazoa; Chordata; Lepidosauria; Squamata; Lacertidae. The record is from the annotation of a GenBank genome assembly.